CCAGAGGAGGAAGCCCGGCGGGCAGGUCAGGACGAGGGUCAGGCCAAUCCUGGAAGUCGUGGGCGGUGGCCUAAGGAGCUGAGACGUUGGCUCUAUCGCUCUGGCCCACAGAGCAGAAGCAGAUACUUUGUCCUGGACGCUCACCUGCUUCUCUUGUUUCCCGGCCUGAAGUUGAGCAAGAGUGAACCAGAGACUCAGACAGAUGACUGACUUCUCCAUGUGACCCAGUGGCUGUUCCAGGAUCUGAACCCUGGUCAGCCUGACUCCCAACGCCAGAGUCCUCCACUCAGAGGUGGGCAUAUGCCUACCUGGAUGUGGCUGAUGACGAAGAUCAGUGUUCUUGGAUUAUUCAACCUGUUGAGGGUUAGUCUCAAGUCACUGUCAGGGGCAGUGUGGCAAUUCCACGGGUUCUCCCUCUACGUCAGGAUGGCGCAAACAGGUGUCAACGAAUUCUCUCUCUGUAAAAGGAAUCCAAAUAAAACAACCACUACCAUAAAUGCACUCUGCACGAAGCCUUGGCUUGUCGGGGGGCAUGAGCAUGCCUGGCAGACCAUGAGGCCCUGGAGGGACGUCUCUGGACAUAGAAACACCCCCAGCAGGAGGUCUCAGGGUCAUGGUGGUAGGACAGAGGGAACCUUGGGAUGGAGUAUUACAAACUCUUCAUCUCACAGGUGUGGGCACUGAGGCACAGAG
RNAcentral lists this long non-coding RNA (693 nucleotides) under Equus caballus (horse). RNAcentral describes it as "lncRNA (ENSECAG00000042832.2)". Lineage: Eukaryota; Metazoa; Chordata; Mammalia; Perissodactyla; Equidae. The record is from RNAcentral.